RNAcentral lists this ribosomal RNA (292 nucleotides) under uncultured bacterium. Its description in RNAcentral is "partial 16S ribosomal RNA". It matches the Rfam family "Bacterial small subunit ribosomal RNA", at positions 505 to 796 of the family's 1533-position model. The record is from RNAcentral.
GUGCCAGCAGCCGCGGUAAAACGUAGGACGCGAGCGUUAUCCGGAGUUACUGGGCGUAAAGGGCGGGUAGGCGGCUUGUCAAGUUGGAUGUGAAAUCUCCCGGCUAAACUGGGAGGGGGCAUUCGAAACUGACAAGCUGGAGGACAGCAGAGGGUCGCGGAAUUCCGGGUGGAGUGGUGAAAUGCGUAGAGAUCCGGAGGAACACCAGAGGCGAAAGCGGCGACCUGGGCUGUAACUGACGCUGAACCGCGAAAGCCAGGGGAGCGAACGGGAUUAGAAACCCUUGUAGUCC